This is a small nucleolar RNA of Suncus etruscus (white-toothed pygmy shrew), 134 nucleotides long. RefSeq annotates it as small nucleolar RNA SNORA70. NCBI's taxonomy places the organism in Eukaryota, Metazoa, Chordata, Mammalia, Eulipotyphla, Soricidae. The record is from RefSeq and is a predicted model, not a curated record. The transcript has a single exon.
CCCCAACCUGUUGAGUCACCUGUGCUCUCUGCCUCUGGGACCGGUGUGCAGUGGCUUUGGACAACACCAGUCUCUUCAGUACUGGAGCAGCCUGUGGCUUUUAUAGGCUGUAAGAAGGGACGUUGGAGAUUCCU